RNAcentral lists this non-coding RNA (80 nucleotides) under Ovis aries (sheep). Lineage: Eukaryota; Metazoa; Chordata; Mammalia; Artiodactyla; Bovidae. The record is from Rfam by way of RNAcentral.
GCCUGGGCAGGGCGAAGCCAGAGGAAACUGGUGAAGGUCCAUUGCGGUCCUGACGUGCAGGUCAGUCGUCCGACUAUGGU